Molecule: ribosomal RNA, 487 nt
Filed under: uncultured bacterium
Lineage: Bacteria
Description: bacterial SSU rRNA
Rfam family: Bacterial small subunit ribosomal RNA
Source: RNAcentral
AUUGAACGCUGGCGGCAUGCCUUACACAUGCAAGUCGAACGGCAGCACGGGUGCUUGCACCUGGUGGCGAGUGGCGAACGGGUGAGUAAUAUAUCGGAACGUACCUUAUCGUGGGGGAUAACGCAGCGAAAGCUGCGCUAAUACCGCAUACGCCCUGAGGGGGGAAAGCGGGGGGACCGUAAGGCCUCGCGCGAUUAGAGCGGCCGAUAUCUGAUUAGCUUGUUGGUGGGGUAAAAGCCCACCAAGGCGACGAUCAGUAGCUGGUCUGAGAGGACGAUCAGCCACACUGGGACUGAGACACGGCCCAGACUCCUACGGGAGGCAGCAGUGGGGAAUUUUGGACAAUGGGCGAAAGCCUGAUCCAGCCAUGCCGCGUGAGUGAAGAAGGCCUUCGGGUUGUAAAGCUCUUUUGUCAGGGAAGAAACAGCAGCUCUAACACAGUCUGCGAAUGACGGUACCUGAAGAAUAAGCACCGGCUAACUACGUG